Molecule: ribosomal RNA, 497 nt
Filed under: uncultured bacterium
Lineage: Bacteria
Description: partial 16S ribosomal RNA
Rfam family: Bacterial small subunit ribosomal RNA
Source: RNAcentral
GAUGAACGCUGGCGGCGUGCCUAAUACAUGCAAGUCGAGCGAACAGACGAGGAGCUUGCUCCUCUGACGUUAGCGGCGGACGGGUGAGUAACACGUGGAUAACCUACCUAUAAGACUGGGAUAACUUCGGGAAACCGGAGCUAAUACCGGAUAAUAUAUUGAACCGCAUGGUUCAAUAGUGAAAGACGGUUUUGCUGUCACUUAUAGAUGGAUCCGCGCCGCAUUAGCUAGUUGGUAAGGUAACGGCUUACCAAGGCAACGAUGCGUAGCCGACCUGAGAGGGUGAUCGGCCACACGGGAACUGAGACACGGUCCAGACUCCUACGGGAGGCAGCAGUAGGGAAUCUUCCGCAAUGGGCGAAAGCCUGACGGAGCAACGCCGCGUGAGUGAUGAAGGUCUUCGGAUCGUAAAACUCUGUUAUUAAGGAAGAACAAAUGUGUAAGUAACUAUGCACGUCUUGACGGUACCUAAUCAGAAAGCCACGGCUAACUACGUG